This is a non-coding RNA of Pelobates cultripes (western spadefoot toad), 201 nucleotides long. Lineage: Eukaryota; Metazoa; Chordata; Amphibia; Anura; Pelobatidae. The record is from the annotation of a GenBank genome assembly.
CACAGACACAAACACACACUCACAAACACACACAGACAUUAACUUUUUUUUUUUAAUUUAAAUCCCCCCCCAACCUCCUUACCUUUGGGAGUGCUGGGGGGGGGGCGGGGGGUCUCUCUCCCUGGUGGUCCAGUGGCUGCAGGGCGGGCGGCCGGCCGGCCGGCGAGGGAGCACUUCCCAUGAGCUGACUGCUCAGCUCCC